Molecule: ribosomal RNA, 490 nt
Filed under: uncultured bacterium
Lineage: Bacteria
Description: partial 16S ribosomal RNA
Rfam family: Bacterial small subunit ribosomal RNA
Source: RNAcentral
AGUGAACGCUGGCGGUAGGCCUAACACAUGCAAGUCGAACGGCAGCACAGGAGAGCUUGCUCUCUGGGUGGCGAGUGGCGGACGGGUGAGGAAUACAUCGGAAUCUGCCCAGUCGGGGGGGAUAACGUAGGGAAACUUACGCUAAUACCGCAUACGACCUUCGGGUUAAAGGGGGGGAUCGCAAGACCUCUCGCGAUUGGAUGAGCCGAUGUCGGAUUAGCUAGUUGGCGGGGUAAUGGCCCACCAAGGCGACGAUCCGUAGCUGGUCUGAGAGGAUGAUCAGCCACACUGGAACUGAGACACGGUCCAGACUCCUACGGGAGGCAGCAGUGGGGAAUAUUGGACAAUGGGCGCAAGCCUGAUCCAGCCAUACCGCGUUGGUGAAGAAGGCCUUCGGGUUGUAAAGCCCUUUUGUUGGGAAAGAAAUCUUUCAGGCUAAUACCCUGGGAGGAUGACGGUACCCAAAGAAUAAGCACCGGCUAACUUCGUG